AUUGAACGCUGGCGGCAGGCUUAACACAUGCAAGUCGAGCGGGGUGAUGGUGCUUGCACUAUCACUUAGCGGCGGACGGGUGAGUAAUGCUUAGGAAUCUGCCUAUUAGUGGGGGACAACAUCUCGAAAGGGAUGCUAAUACCGCAUACGUCCUACGGGAGAAAGCAGGGGAUCACUUGUGACCUUGCGCUAAUAGAUGAGCCUAAGUCGGAUUAGCUAGUUGGUGGGGUAAAGGCCUACCAAGGCGACGAUCUGUAGCGGGUCUGAGAGGAUGUUCUGCCACACGGGGACUGAGAAACGGCCCAGACUCCUACGGGAGGCAGCAGUGGGGAAUAUUGGACAAUGGGGGGAACCCUGAUCCAGCCAUGCCGCGUGUGUGAAGAAGGCCUUAUGGUUGUAAAGCACUUUAAGCGAGGAGGAGGCUCUUUUGGUUAAUACCCAAGAUGAGUGGACGUUACUCGCAGAAUAAGCACCGGCUAACUCUGUGCCAGCAGCCGCCGUAA
This 503-nucleotide ribosomal RNA is filed under the name uncultured bacterium. Its description in RNAcentral is "partial 16S ribosomal RNA". It matches the Rfam family "Bacterial small subunit ribosomal RNA", at positions 30 to 523 of the family's 1533-position model. The record is from RNAcentral.